RNAcentral lists this long non-coding RNA (222 nucleotides) under Lathyrus oleraceus (garden pea). RNAcentral describes it as "Pisum sativum (pea) long non-coding RNA (PSAT_LNC018323)". Lineage: Eukaryota; Viridiplantae; Streptophyta; Magnoliopsida; Fabales; Fabaceae. The record is from RNAcentral.
UUUGCUUAUGUCUAAGUAGGGAGCAUUAUUGAAUAAAUUUGGUUUUGGAAUCUAAAGUUGGGGAGAGUAAAGUAAAAAGAGUUUACUAGAAACUUGGAAAAGUGAUGUUUUAUAAAAGGGUGAAAGUAUGAAAAGAAACAAUAAAAAGAAAUCACCCAUGAAACUAUAGAGAAAAGAAAAAGAAAAGAAAGAAAAAACAAAGAAAAAGCUCAUGGUUGUGUG